Molecule: ribosomal RNA, 2758 nt
Filed under: Klebsiella pneumoniae
Lineage: Bacteria; Pseudomonadati; Pseudomonadota; Gammaproteobacteria; Enterobacterales; Enterobacteriaceae
Description: partial 23S ribosomal RNA
Rfam family: Bacterial large subunit ribosomal RNA
Source: RNAcentral
CACUAUCGUUAACUGAAUACAUAGGUUAACGAGGCGAACCGGGGGAACUGAAACAUCUAAGUACCCCGAGGAAAAGAAAUCAACCGAGAUUCCCCCAGUAGCGGCGAGCGAACGGGGAGCAGCCCAGAGUCUGAAUCAGCUUGUGUGUUAGUGGAACGGUCUGGAAAGUCCGACGGUACAGGGUGAUAGUCCCGUACACCAAAAUGCACAGGCUGUGAACUCGAAGAGUAGGGCGGGACACGUGGUAUCCUGUCUGAAUAUGGGGGGACCAUCCUCCAAGGCUAAAUACUCCUGACUGACCGAUAGUGAACCAGUACCGUGAGGGAAAGGCGAAAAGAACCCCGGCGAGGGGAGUGAAAAAGAACCUGAAACCGUGUACGUACAAGCAGUGGGAGCACCUUCGGGUGUGACUGCGUACCUUUUGUAUAAUGGGUCAGCGACUUAUAUUCUGUAGCAAGGUUAACCGUAUAGGGGAGCCGCAGGGAAACCGAGUCUUAACUGGGCGUUAAGUUGCAGGGUAUAGACCCGAAACCCGGUGAUCUAGCCAUGGGCAGGUUGAAGGUUGGGUAACACUAACUGGAGGACCGAACCGACUAAUGUUGAAAAAUUAGCGGAUGACUUGUGGCUGGGGGUGAAAGGCCAAUCAAACCGGGAGAUAGCUGGUUCUCCCCGAAAGCUAUUUAGGUAGCGCCUCGUGAAUUCAUCUUCGGGGGUAGAGCACUGUUUCGGCUAGGGGGUCAUCCCGACUUACCAACCCGAUGCAAACUACGAAUACCGAAGAAUGUUAUCACGGGAGACACACGGCGGGUGCUAACGUCCGUCGUGAAGAGGGAAACAACCCAGACCGCCAGCUAAGGUCCCAAAGUCAUGGUUAAGUGGGAAACGAUGUGGGAAGGCACAGACAGCCAGGAUGUUGGCUUAGAAGCAGCCAUCAUUUAAAGAAAGCGUAAUAGCUCACUGGUCGAGUCGGCCUGCGCGGAAGAUGUAACGGGGCUAAACCAUGCACCGAAGCUGCGGCAGCGACACUAUGUGUUGUUGGGUAGGGGAGCGUUCUGUAAGCCUGCGAAGGUGUGCUGUGAGGCAUGCUGGAGGUAUCAGAAGUGCGAAUGCUGACAUAAGUAACGAUAAAGCGGGUGAAAAGCCCGCUCGCCGGAAGACCAAGGGUUCCUGUCCAACGUUAAUCGGGGCAGGGUGAGUCGACCCCUAAGGCGAGGCCGAAAGGCGUAGUCGAUGGGAAACAGGUUAAUAUUCCUGUACUUGGUGUUACUGCGAAGGGGGGACGGAGAAGGCUAUGUUAGCCGGGCGACGGUUGUCCCGGUUUAAGCAUGUAGGCUGGUUAUCCAGGCAAAUCCGGAUAAUCAAGGCUGAGGUGUGAUGACGAGGCACUACGGUGCUGAAGUAACAAAUGCCCUGCUUCCAGGAAAAGCCUCUAAGCAUCAGGUAACAUUAAAUCGUACCCCAAACCGACACAGGUGGUCAGGUAGAGAAUACCAAGGCGCUUGAGAGAACUCGGGUGAAGGAACUAGGCAAAAUGGUGCCGUAACUUCGGGAGAAGGCACGCUGGUGUGUAGGUGAAGUCCCUGCGGAUGGAGCUGAGACCAGUCGAAGAUACCAGCUGGCUGCAACUGUUUAUUAAAAACACAGCACUGUGCAAACACGAAAGUGGACGUAUACGGUGUGACGCCUGCCCGGUGCCGGAAGGUUAAUUGAUGGGGUUAUCCGUAAGGAGAAGCUCUUGAUCGAAGCCCCGGUAAACGGCGGCCGUAACUAUAACGGUCCUAAGGUAGCGAAAUUCCUUGUCGGGUAAGUUCCGACCUGCACGAAUGGCGUAAUGAUGGCCAGGCUGUCUCCACCCGAGACUCAGUGAAAUUGAACUCGCUGUGAAGAUGCAGUGUACCCGCGGCAAGACGGAAAGACCCCGUGAACCUUUACUAUAGCUUGACACUGAACAUUGAGCCUUGAUGUGUAGGAUAGGUGGGAGGCUUUGAAGCGUGGACGCCAGUCUGCGUGGAGCCAACCUUGAAAUACCACCCUUUAAUGUUUGAUGUUCUAACGUUGGCCCCUUACCGGGGUUGCGGACAGUGUCUGGUGGGUAGUUUGACUGGGGCGGUCUCCUCCCAAAGCGUAACGGAGGAGCACGAAGGUUAGCUAAUCCUGGUCGGACAUCAGGAGGUUAGUGCAAUGGCAUAAGCUAGCUUGACUGCGAGCGUGACGGCGCGAGCAGGUGCGAAAGCAGGUCAUAGUGAUCCGGUGGUUCUGAAUGGAAGGGCCAUCGCUCAACGGAUAAAAGGUACUCCGGGGAUAACAGGCUGAUACCGCCCAAGAGUUCAUAUCGACGGCGGUGUUUGGCACCUCGAUGUCGGCUCAUCACAUCCUGGGGCUGAAGUAGGUCCCAAGGGUAUGGCUGUUCGCCAUUUAAAGUGGUACGCGAGCUGGGUUUAGAACGUCGUGAGACAGUUCGGUCCCUAUCUGCCGUGGGCGCUGGAGAAUUGAGGGGGGCUGCUCCUAGUACGAGAGGACCGGAGUGGACGCAUCACUGGUGUUCGGGUUGUCAUGCCAAUGGCACUGCCCGGUAGCUAAAUGCGGAAGAGAUAAGUGCUGAAAGCAUCUAAGCACGAAACUUGCCCCGAGAUGAGUUCUCCCUGAGACUUUAAGUCUCCUGAAGGAACGUUAAAGACGAUGACGUUGAUAGGCCGGGUGUGUAAGCGCAGCGAUGCGUUGAGCUAACCGGUACUAAUGAACCGUGAGGCUUAACCUU